AUAGAAUACAGCUUGCGUUCAAAGACAGCAGGGGCUCUUCGGGGCAUAAUUCCUGCCGAGAGUGCAUUCAAAGGGAUAUUCUUUUGAUUGUGCUGUCCUCCUGUCUGACGACGGGAGGUUUUUUGUUUCGCAGA
Non-coding RNA from Firmicutes bacterium ASF500, 134 nucleotides. NCBI's taxonomy places the organism in Bacteria, Bacillati, Bacillota. The record is from Rfam.